GAAUCUUGGACAAUGGGGGCAACCCUGAUCCAGCGAUGCCGCGUGAGCGAUGAAGGCCUUAGGGUUGUAAAGCUCUUUCACCGGUGAAGAUAAUGACGGUAGCCGGAGAAGAAGCCCCGGCUAACUCCGUGCCAGCAGCCGCGGUAAUACGGAGGGGGCUAGCGUUGUUCGGAAGUACUGGGCGUAAAGCGCGCGUAGGCGGACUGUUAAGUCGGGGGUGAAAUCCCGGGGCUCAACCCCGGAACUGCCCCCGAUACUGGCAGCCUGGAGGUCGAGAGAGGUGAGUGGAAUGCCGAGUGUAGAGGUGAAAUUCGUAGAUAUUCGGCGGAACACCAGUGGCGAAGGCGGCUCACUGGCUCGAACCUGACGCUGAGGCGCGAAAGCGUGGGGAGCAAACAGG
Molecule: ribosomal RNA, 400 nt
Filed under: uncultured bacterium
Lineage: Bacteria
Description: bacterial SSU rRNA
Rfam family: Bacterial small subunit ribosomal RNA
Source: RNAcentral